CAAAAACAUGUCUUUUUGUUUAUUAUUUAAAGUCUGACCUGCCCACUGAGAAUUUAAAUGGCCGCAGUAUUUUAACUGUGCAAAGGUAGCAUAAUCAUUAGUCUUUUAAUUGAAGGCUUGUAUGAAUGGUUGGACGAAGUAUAUGCUGUAUCAAGUAAAUUUAUAAUAGAAUUUUAUUUUUUAGUGAAAAAGCUAAAAUUUGAUUUAAAGACGAGAAGACCCUAUAGAUUUUUAUAUUUGCUUAUAUUAAUAGUGUGUAGAUUUUUAUACUUUUAAUUUAAUUAAAUAUUUUGUUGGGGUGACAUUAAAAUUUAUAAAACUUUUAUUAUUUUAUUACAUUUAUUUAUGAUUUUUUGAUCCAUUAUUAGUGAUUAUAAGUUUAAAUUACCUUAGGGAUAACAGCGUAAUUUUCUUGGAGAGUUCAUAUCGAUAAGAAAGAUUGCGACCUCGAUGUUGGAUUAAAAUAAAUAUUGGGUGUAGAAGUUCAAUAUAUUAAGUCUGUUCGACUUUUAAUUUUUUACAUGAUCU
This 528-nucleotide ribosomal RNA is filed under the name Prepseudatrichia tiger. RNAcentral describes it as "partial 16S ribosomal RNA". The stretch from base 395 to 528 matches the Rfam family "Bacterial large subunit ribosomal RNA", at positions 2473 to 2606 of the family's 2925-position model. The record is from RNAcentral. Lineage: Eukaryota; Metazoa; Arthropoda; Insecta; Diptera; Scenopinidae.